RNAcentral lists this ribosomal RNA (253 nucleotides) under uncultured bacterium. RNAcentral's name for it is "partial 16S ribosomal RNA". It matches the Rfam family "Bacterial small subunit ribosomal RNA", at positions 524 to 776 of the family's 1533-position model. The record is from RNAcentral.
UACGUAGGGUGCGAGCGUUACUCGGAAUUACUGGGCGUAAAGCGUGCGCAGGCGGCGCGUUAAGACAGGUGUGAAAGCCCCGAGCUUAACUUGGGAAUUGCGCUUGUGACUGGCGUGCUGGAGUGUGGCAGAGGAGACUGGAAUUCCUGGUGUAGCAGUGAAAUGCGUAGAUAUCAGGAGGAACACCGAUGGCGAAGGCAGGUCUCUGGGCUGACACUGACGCUCAUGCACGAAAGCGUGGGGAGCAAACAGG